RNAcentral lists this ribosomal RNA (451 nucleotides) under uncultured bacterium. RNAcentral describes it as "partial 16S ribosomal RNA". It matches the Rfam family "Bacterial small subunit ribosomal RNA", at positions 354 to 796 of the family's 1533-position model. The record is from RNAcentral.
GUGGGGAAUAUUGGACAAUGGGGGGAACCCUGAUCCAGCCAUGCCGCGUGUGUGAAGAAGGCCUUUUGGUUGUAAAGCACUUUAAGUGGGGAGGAGGCUUACCUGGUUAAUACCUGGGCUAAGUGGACGUUACCCACAGAAUAAGCACCGGCUAACUCUGUGCCAGCAGCCGCGGUAAUACAGAGGGUGCAAGCGUUAAUCGGAUUUACUGGGCGUAAAGCGCGCGUAGGUGGUUAAUUAAGUCAAAUGUGAAAUCCCCGAGCUUAACUUGGGAAUUGCAUUCGAUACUGGUUGGCUAGAGUAUGGGAGAGGAUGGUAGAAUUCCAGGUGUAGCGGUGAAAUGCGUAGAGAUCUGGAGGAAUACCGAUGGCGAAGGCAGCCAUCUGGCCUAAUACUGACACUGAGGUGCGAAAGCAUGGGGAGCAAACAGGAUUAGAAACCCUUGUAGUCC